UAGAGGGUAGUAUAAGUGGAAGUACUGAAAAUUUUGAGUUUUUAAAUGUAGGUUCCAAUCCUUUCUCUCUAG
RNAcentral lists this transfer RNA (72 nucleotides) under Tympanocryptis pinguicolla. Its description in RNAcentral is "tRNA-Gln". It matches the Rfam family "tRNA". Rfam says of the family: Transfer RNA (tRNA) molecules are approximately 80 nucleotides in length. Their secondary structure includes four short double-helical elements and three loops (D, anti-codon, and T loops). Lineage: Eukaryota; Metazoa; Chordata; Lepidosauria; Squamata; Agamidae. The record is from RNAcentral.